Molecule: long non-coding RNA, 1573 nt
Organism: Engraulis encrasicolus (European anchovy)
Lineage: Eukaryota; Metazoa; Chordata; Actinopteri; Clupeiformes; Engraulidae
Exons: 6
Source: RefSeq, a predicted model, not a curated record
AGCAUUAUUCACCAGACGCUUCAGAGGAUGCCAUAAAUGCAAUUGUUUUGAAUUAGGCCUCUUUUAAAGCCACGUCAGUCACUCACUAACAGUUCCAGCACGAGACUUUCUGCAUUAUGUUUAAUAGGGGAAUAACUGUCCACAUUGUCAGAAGCCCGAACAAAUUAACUGCAGAUAACUAGUUCUAAUGCAGAUAUGCAAUGGUCACCUCUCCACAUCAACACUGACACUUUCAACUGGCUAAAGAUAUUUGUUUCUGUGUGAUUUGAUAUAUAGAUGCUGCCAAACCAAGGCAUUGCUUGGAAAGAAAUUAUUUCUUAUGUGUUGCCUUUUUUGUCCUAGACUGGAAGUGACUGAAAGACAACACAGAUGCAUUCUUUCAGCAAGCACUUGUCCUGGAGGUUUUGUAGACAGAACUGGAAGUGACUGAAAGAAAACGGAGACUCAUUCUUUCAGCAAGGUGACCAAAAUCUGUUUCGCUCUGCAGCACUUGUCCCGGAGGCUUUGUAGACAGAGUGACUGAACGAAAACCUAAAUGAGAAAUAGGAACAACAUGUUUAGAAGAUGAAGUGUGGAAGCCUCGGCAGCUUCAGUAUGCUGUGUACCUCAUCUUGAACUCUUUCACAUGGUGAUUCCUACACAUAAUUGCACACUGUAUGUGUUUAGCUAUCCUAUCUUACAAAGACUUAUGCCAACACUGUAUCUGCCUUUCCUCAAUACAAUAUAAAAAGUGCUGCAUAGACCAUUUAGAGAAGCAAUGUCUCGUGACUUUUACUGUAUGUUUAUUUUUGAGCAAGUGUCAUUUGUUUUGUAAAAUAUCUUUGCAGAUUUUCUUUUCAUGCCUGGACACUUUUUUUAUUUCAAAUAUUGCUUUGAAUUGAUGCAAAUUGAAGAACGUGAAUCCCUGGUAAUAAAGGAAGGUUGACCAGAAAAUCAUUUCUCUCUCCAUUGAUUCAUUAUGCUUUGAUGUGUUUUCGUAUAAUGUCAUUGAAUUAUCACAUAUGUUAACAUGUAUACAAUAAUGUAUACAAAUUAUUUAAAACAUUAAUAGUGAUCAGAUUGGUUCUAUUUGAGCAAUGGUCAGCAGUGAGUAUUUAAAAUGGUCAAAUGUGUUGCAUAUUGUUAAAGUGAUAUGUAACCAUUUCUGGAAAUAGGCAGAUUUUUACACAUCCCCUUGAGUAAUUGAGCCUUACUUUUCUCCUGUUCUUUCAGCCAUUUCCUGAGUUUGGCAAUGCAACUUCUACCUCCAAGCAGGCAAUUAUCAUUGACCAGUGGCAUUCACUAGCCGCUGGCUGGUCCCAUAAGAUUCAAUGAUAGUUGCUUGCUUGGAACUCGACGAUUGCCAAUCAAAGGAAACAACUGAAAGAAUUGGAGAAAAGUAAAAGGCAAUUCCCAAAUAACCCAGUUUCCACCCAUGUUUAACCCAGUAUUAAACCAGUUACUGAGUAACUAUUGCACAGCACACAUACUGGGUUAUUUUUACCCAUUGGAUUGGGUUAGUAUUUUAACCCAGUGAAAUGGGUUAACUCAGCAACCCAGUGCAGGGUAUUUCUGACCCUAUGGCUGGGUUAAU